ACGGGAGGCAGCAGUGGGGAGUAUUGGGCAAUGGGCGAAAGCCUGACCCAGCAACGCCGCGUGAAGGAAGAAGGUCUUCGGAUUGUAAACUUCUUUUAUGAGGGACGAAGGACGUGACGGUACCUCAUGAAUAAGCCACGGCUAACUACGUGCCAGCAGCCGCGGUAAUACGUAGGUGGCAAGCGUUAUCCGGAUUUACUGGGUGUAAAGGGCGCGUAGGCGGGGAUGCAAGUCAGAUGUGAAAUCCAUGGGCUCAACUCAUGAACUGCAUUUGAAACUGUAUCUCUUGAAUGCUGGAGAGGUAGAUGGAAUUCCUAGUGUAGCGGUGAAAUGCGUAGAUAUUAGGAAGAACACCAGUGGCGAAGGCGAUCUACUGGACAGUAACUGACGCUGAGGCGCGAAAGCGUGGGGAGCAAACAGGAUUAGAUACCCUGGUA
This 437-nucleotide ribosomal RNA is filed under the name uncultured Oscillospiraceae bacterium. Its description in RNAcentral is "bacterial SSU rRNA". It matches the Rfam family "Bacterial small subunit ribosomal RNA", at positions 341 to 792 of the family's 1533-position model. Lineage: Bacteria; Bacillati; Bacillota; Clostridia; Eubacteriales; Oscillospiraceae. The record is from RNAcentral.